ACAUGAGAUGCUCUCUUCAGUCCGGGGCUUGGUUGAACGGACUCACCAGGAAACGUGACUUUCGUGUCCGACCUCUGCUGUAUCAGGAUUCGAUUCUUGGUGUUAAACAAGACAACGCUGAAGGCUCGGUGCAGCAGCCCUGCAAAGCUUUGUGUCUUAGGUUUCAGCGUGCUGACGUUCUCUGGGCCCUGAAGUCACUGCUGCUGGCUGGUGUGCUGGCCACUUGGUCGUGCUGGCCUGUCUCCCACCGGGUGGAUGCCCAGCGAGCUCUGGAUGCUGUGUAUGACAAAGACAUGGGGGUUGUUUGGAGUCUGUGAUGUGCUAUUGUCCUCCACAUAAUGGUUUUCUGCAAGAAACUAGAGAAGUUUUUCCAGCGCUCUUGGGAGGUGGGCUGUGCCACUGCCUGGCCCACCUGGCCCACCUGGCCCACCAUUACCUGAAGGGAAGCAUGAACAGCCUUUGACGUGGGAGUGGCGACUGCUGAGAGGGAACUGUCUGUACACAAGCAAUGUAGCCUUAUGGGACCUGAGUGGAGCCCCAACCCACGCAGGGCGUGUCUUCAUGGCUUUUCCUGGCCAAUCUGAUACCAAGAUGCAGUGGCCAGAAGUACCUGCACUUCCACUCCUGUCAAGUCUCUGCAUGGCUAUGGUGAGGAAGAGCUCUGCACUGGGCAAGGAAGUUGGCCGUCGAGUGAAGGAAAUGGUGAUGCUGGUGGCCCCUUUCCGGCAGUCAAGUUCCCUAUCAAGGACAUUCAGUUCUCGGAAAGUGGUGAAGGCACAUGCUUCCCUGCAUGGUGCCCGCCUCUCUCCACUCUCUAGAAAUAUUAGAGGCUAGGCUGCUGCUGUAUGUCAGGGCUAGUCCCUCUUCUAUGAAUCCAGAAUAACUCUGAAGAAGCCGAGUAACAGGCAUGAAGUGAAGAGAAAUCGCUGUAACAGGAAGACAGCAAAGCAGAUGCUAAUGACCACACUAUUUAACGAACUGGAACCAACGAGAAAAUACGGUAUUACUGAAGACUGCACUUCCUUGAACAGAGUGCUCUUCUCAGCAAAUCGGAAAUGCCUACACAAAUCGCUUUACAAGAAAGACUGUUUCAAAGCAGCACCUUUCUCAAUGUUCUCGUUCAGGUGACAAUUCUUCUUGGUCUCAGCUCCAAUUUUAUUGUCAUUUUCAUCAAUAAGGAUACACAUCUCUGCCAGGAGUUGAACCUGUUGCUUGUCGAGGUGGUUAGUGUUUAUUUCAGGCAUCAUUACAAAAUGUCUGAUCUGUUCUAGAACACUAAUAUUAAAGGAAAAGAGAAAGAAAGGC
Homo sapiens (human) is the source of this 1305-nucleotide long non-coding RNA. RefSeq annotates it as IDI2 antisense RNA 1. NCBI's taxonomy places the organism in Eukaryota, Metazoa, Chordata, Mammalia, Primates, Hominidae. The record is from RefSeq and is marked validated. The transcript is spliced from 5 exons.